GCCUUUGUAGAUCAUCGUAGAUCGCCUCAACAGACUAAUACGCGUUUCAAGUCGAAUUUAUGGGGAGGUGGAGGUUCGAAUCCUCCCGAAGGCU
Molecule: non-coding RNA, 94 nt
Organism: Mycena galopus ATCC 62051
Lineage: Eukaryota; Fungi; Basidiomycota; Agaricomycetes; Agaricales; Mycenaceae
Source: the annotation of a GenBank genome assembly